Chroicocephalus ridibundus (black-headed gull) is the source of this 742-nucleotide RNA transcript. It is a transcript of the gene named heat shock factor binding protein 1 like 1, with no coding region annotated. The record is from RefSeq and is a predicted model, not a curated record. NCBI's taxonomy places the organism in Eukaryota, Metazoa, Chordata, Aves, Charadriiformes, Laridae. The transcript is spliced from 4 exons.
GUUGCGAUUUCUUUGGAAAAAGCCAGGAAUACCGCCGACUGCCUGAUGUUUAACGAUUCACCCGCUCCCUCCCGAGCGCGGCGCCGAGCAGAGGAGCCCGGCCCCGGCCGAGCGGGCGGAGCGCGGCGCUCACCUGCCCGCCCCGCCGCGGCGGGGGAGGCGGGCGGCCGGGCGGCCGCGGCCGGGAAGGGGAGGCGAUGGCGGCCGCCGACUCGCCGGGCUCCGGGGACCUCUCGCAGUUGGCGGGUGGCUGGCUCCGCGGGAGAGGCUUCGUGUUCCCAGGGCUGCGGUUCCUCUGCCGGACCGAGCUCGAAAUGGGCGAGCGCAUUGAUGACCUCGAGAAGCAUGUUGCUGACCUGAUGACAGAGGCUGGGAUAGAAAACACCGACGAAGAGUUGAAACACUGAAAUGAGGAUGCGAUCAAGAAAGAUAAAGGGAGAACAGCACCGCACUGAAUCUGGGAGAUUACAAUCACUGUCGCUAGUCACAAAAAGCAUCAGCGAAAACAAACACGCUUACAUCACGUCACAAUAGAAUCUCAAAUUUAUUUUUUUUUAAACUAUUGCCCCAGGGGGAAAAAAGAAGUAGAAAGCUGGGCUUAUUCAUCUAAAUGGGACACUGUACUUCCUGUAACUGGGAAACAGUUAGUUUCACAGGGGAGACAAAAAUCACUAUUUUGGAUGGAAAACUAUAGCCUACAUAGUGAACUUAUCCAGCCACAAACUAUUUCAAUGUAUGAAAA